Molecule: non-coding RNA, 142 nt
Organism: Gossypium raimondii (Peruvian cotton)
Lineage: Eukaryota; Viridiplantae; Streptophyta; Magnoliopsida; Malvales; Malvaceae
Source: Rfam
UGUUAAAAUUUUCAUUUAAUUCUAUUGUUAAAAACUUAUGUGGCUGAAAGAAUAAUCAAACAGUUACACGUGGCAUACUAUUGUAUUUUAUUUUGCGUAUAUGGAACAAUUUUUAACAGUAAAAAUGGAUGAAAUUUUAACA